This 481-nucleotide ribosomal RNA is filed under the name uncultured bacterium. Its description in RNAcentral is "partial 16S ribosomal RNA". It matches the Rfam family "Bacterial small subunit ribosomal RNA", at positions 30 to 507 of the family's 1533-position model. The record is from RNAcentral.
UUGAACGCUGGCGGCAUGCCUUACCCCUGCCAGUCGCACGGUAACAGGUCUUCGGAUGCUGCCGAGUGGCGAACGGGUGAGUAAUACAUCGGAACGUGCCCAGACGUGGGGGAUAACGAGGCGAAAGCUUUGCUAAUACCGCAUACGAUCUAAGGAUGAAAGCAGGGGACCGCAAGGCCUUGCGCGUUUGGAGCGGCCGAUGGCAGAUUAGGUAGUUGGUGGGAUAAAAGCUUACCAAGCCGACGAUCUGUAGCUGGUCUGAGAGGACGACCAGCCACACUGGGACUGAGACACGGCCCAGACUCCUACGGGAGGCAGCAGUGGGGAAUUUUGGACAAUGGGCGAAAGCCUGAUCCAGCAAUGCCGCGUGCAGGAUGAAGGCCUUCGGGUUGUAAACUGCUUUUGUACGGAACGAAAAGGCUCUGGCUAAUACCUGGGGCACAUGACGGUACCGUAAGAAUAAGCACCGGCUAACUACGUG